GCGGUUCGCCGCCCCCGACGUCGCGAGAAGUCCAUUGAACCUUAUCAUUUAGAGGAAGGAAAAGUCGUAACAAGGUUUCCGUAGGUGAACCUGCGGAAGGAUCAUUG
RNAcentral lists this ribosomal RNA (107 nucleotides) under Cinnagrostis velutina. Its description in RNAcentral is "partial 18S ribosomal RNA". It matches the Rfam family "Eukaryotic small subunit ribosomal RNA", at positions 1725 to 1831 of the family's 1831-position model. Lineage: Eukaryota; Viridiplantae; Streptophyta; Magnoliopsida; Poales; Poaceae. The record is from RNAcentral.